AAACAGUCAUCUGUAUAUUACAAUCUAAAAUUAUCAAGAUGAUUAUUCUGACAUACCUACUCUGCGUCUUUUAUCUUUUACAAGGCUCUUAUGGAGAGAUUGUGCUGACUCAGACUCAGGAACAUAUCUCGGUGUCUCCGGGAGGGAAUGUGGUCAUACAUUGUCAAUCAAGUUCUGAUGUCACUGAUUCAGUUGAUGACAGUUGCAUACAUUGGUACCAGAAGAAAACAGAUCAGCCUCCAACAUUGCUUUUCUAUUGGGUGACCAGACGUAAGUCUGGAGUCCCGGACAGGUUUACCAGCAGUAGAUCCGGAUCUCCAUACAGAGAUUUCACUCUAACGAUCAAUGGAGCUCAGGCAGAAGAUGAAGCCAAAUAUUACUGUCAGCAGGGUUGGGAGUUCCCUUUCACACAGUGA
Non-coding RNA from Rana temporaria (common frog), 416 nucleotides. Lineage: Eukaryota; Metazoa; Chordata; Amphibia; Anura; Ranidae. The record is from the annotation of a RefSeq genome assembly.